This 1186-nucleotide long non-coding RNA is filed under the name Chinchilla lanigera (long-tailed chinchilla). RNAcentral's name for it is "lncRNA (ENSCLAG00000027045.1)". The record is from RNAcentral. Lineage: Eukaryota; Metazoa; Chordata; Mammalia; Rodentia; Chinchillidae.
AUGGCUGGCUUCCUUUCACACUUAUCUGGGUGGGGAAGGAAGCUGUUUGGGGAAGAUAUGCUGCAAUUCUUUCUGGGGGAGAUGGAAAGUACAGAGAUAAGAGCAAAAACAGGAAAAGAAACUGCUGUGCCAGAGGAAAUCCAAAUCUUGCUUACGUUUCUGGAAGGGAUUAUGGUGGAAAUUUUUACAUCUCUGGGCUCCAAAUCUGUAAAGAGCCUCUCUGCUCUCCAGAAGACAUUUUCCUCCAUGGAACAUGAGCAGGCCCCUGGAGAUGAUCCUCUCACUAGGGGGCUCCCUGACUUACCCAUCAGCUCUUCAACAAACAUCUGCAGGACCUCAUGGCGCUUGCCAGCUCUCGCUGUCUCCCACCAUCUCUUCCCAAUGCACGCGUCUGCCAGCAGCUUCUCAGCAGAACUCCGCCUCUCAUCUCCCUCUGAGACAAGACUUUUUGUUUUCCCUGGAGGUCCUUACCCAUCCCACAGUCUAUUCUCACCCCAGCUCUGGUUGUCUCCUCAGGAAGCCCCUAGGGUCCACCUGAUGUUGUCACUGUCUGCCCAGUCCCCAGGGCACGGCCUGGUCAGCUUGAGCACCAGCACUGGCAGUGGGUGGCAUUGAUUUUCUAGAAGAUGUACUAUUCCUGGGAUUUCAGGUCUCUCAAGAUCAGGAGCCAUGACCUAGCUUUGUGUUCUCAGGAUGUAACACAUCCCUAAUAAAUAAAGCAGCCCUGUAACUGAGUGUCCAGUAGAUGCAAAUACUCCUUAGAGCUCUGCAGUAUAAACAUAGGCUCUACCAUGAGCCUGUGCACAGCAGUUCAUGGAGUGAACACUUCAGCAAGGAAAAGGCACUCUGGGGGAUAAAGGCCCAUAUGCUGUUUCCUGGAAGGCUCUACAUCAUGUGGUGUGAAGUCUGCUUUUUAUAUACAUCUAGAAUAACUCAGGCCCCUGGUUAGUAAAGGCCUACAAGAGGCCCAUGUCUCACUCCACCAGCCUCUGGCAUAUUGUGUAACACUACGCUAGACUUUCACUUCCUCCACCAGAGAAAGUCUCUCCCAAACCUCACCAACUGUGGCUCAGGAGAUGUAUUCCUGCCUGAGAUUUCAGGUGUUCCAAGGUCAGGAGGCAUGACCUGGCCUUGUGUGCUCAGGAUGCAAAAGGUAUCUAAUAAAUAAGGCAGUCCUAUAACUGAG